This 440-nucleotide ribosomal RNA is filed under the name uncultured bacterium. Its description in RNAcentral is "partial 16S ribosomal RNA". It matches the Rfam family "Bacterial small subunit ribosomal RNA", at positions 338 to 795 of the family's 1533-position model. The record is from RNAcentral.
CCGGCGGGUGGCAGCAGUGGGGGAUAUUGCACAAUGGGGGGAACCCUGAUGCAGCGACGCCGCGUGGGUGAAGAAGCGCCUCGGCGCGUAAAGCCCUGUCAGCAGGGGAGAAAAUGACGGUACCUGAAGAAGAAGCCCCGGCUAACUACGGGCCAGCAGCCGCGGUAAUACGUAGGGGGCAAGCGUUAUCCGGAUUUACUGGGUGUAAAGGGGGCGCAGACGGCGAUGCAAGCCAGGAGUGAAAGCCCGGGGCCCAACCCCGGGACUGCUCUUGGAACUGCGUGGCUGGAGUGCAGGGGGGGCAGGCGGAAUUCGUGGUGUAGCGGUGAAAGGCGUAGAUAUCAGGAGGAACACCGGUGGCGAAGGCGGCCUGCUGGAGUGCAACUGACGUUGAGGCCCGAAAGCGUGGGGAGCAAACAGGAUUAGAUACCCGAGUAGUC